This 81-nucleotide transfer RNA is filed under the name Bacteroides sp. RNAcentral describes it as "tRNA-OTHER". Lineage: Bacteria; Pseudomonadati; Bacteroidota; Bacteroidia; Bacteroidales; Bacteroidaceae. The record is from RNAcentral.
GGGCGGUAAGUGCUAAAGGCUGAAACACUGCGGAGGUGCACCGAAGCAGAGAGGCCGGUUCGAUUCCGGCACCGUCCACCA